ACGUAGGGUCCGAGCGUUGUCCGGAAUUAUUGGGCGUAAAGGGCUCGUAGGCGGUUUGUCGCGUCGGGAGUGAAAACAGCGGGCUUAACUCGUUGCUUGCUUCCGAUACGGGCAGACUAGAGUGUGGUAGGGGAGACUGGAAUUCCUGGUGUAGCGGUGGAAUGCGCAGAUAUCAGGAGGAACACCGAUGGCGAAGGCAGGUCUCUGGGCCAUUACUGACACUGAGAAGCGAAAGCAUGGGGAGCGAACAGGA
Molecule: ribosomal RNA, 253 nt
Filed under: uncultured prokaryote
Description: partial 16S ribosomal RNA
Rfam family: Bacterial small subunit ribosomal RNA
Source: RNAcentral